AGUGGGAAACCUACACAGAGGCUGGAACUCACUAUGGACUGAAUUGUGCAGGCCAGGAAAGAGAGAUGGAAGAUUUCAGUCCUCUUUACUAAAGCUACCCAAAGAGAUAAAAGCACGUUGGCAAAAUGUGAGAUGCUGUGAUUGUAAUUGAUGACACAAAGGAAGGAGAGACAAGAAGCAGCAUUUAGGUGCAUAAUUUGUGGUGCUCAAGUCCCAAAAGUGAGCUGCAGCUGGCUUGGUACCACUGCCAAACACUGAGUUAAACACCAAAAUGCAGUUGUCUCACUGAGAUGCCUUGGUGUGUUACAUCCUGCACAUGCUUGUCUUUCUCCACUGCACAAUGGAGAAGUGAGAAGCACGCACUGGUUUCAAGACUGGUGUUUUGUUGACUACAUAGCCUUACAGAAAGCUCCAAAAAAUUUGCAGACAAAUUUACUUUCCCUGUGUGUAAUAGGUCACUAUGGUAACUUGUUUCUGACUUACUGCAGUAGUCCUCUGUUGGAGGAAAGUCAACAAGCUCACAUUUGUUUCUAGUGAUCAAUGUAAAAAACCUUGUUGAGACUGAGUCUGUCUGAUGCAUUAGCAACUUUUUACCAAUCCAAAACCUAUGGAUUUGUGCAUCUCCAGCUCUUCAGGUAAAGAGAAUUGCAAAAAACAGAAGGCAUUUUUUGCUUUAUCUAUCAUACAGGUCGAGCAGGUGUUUUCCUUCAUGACUGUGCACCAGUGGGCUGCAUUUGGCUACCUACAGCAACUAUGUGCUGCUGCACUUGUGAAUCUCCUGUGGACUAAAGGCAAGCAUCUCAGAUGGAGACCCUUCUCAGAAGAAUCAGAAGGAUCCUUCUCAGAAGGAUUUCUUCCAAGACAGCCAUGGCUUGGAAGGAGACUUCUGUG
This 891-nucleotide long non-coding RNA is filed under the name Cyanistes caeruleus (blue tit). RNAcentral's name for it is "lncRNA (ENSCCEG00000006837.1)". The record is from RNAcentral. Lineage: Eukaryota; Metazoa; Chordata; Aves; Passeriformes; Paridae.